GCGGGCUUCAAAGCGCUUCAAAACGCCGGCGGGGGCGACAGCGGCCGCGGCGGGUUCAAUUCCUCUUUACC
This 71-nucleotide transfer RNA is filed under the name uncultured Amoebophrya. Its description in RNAcentral is "partial Selenocysteine transfer RNA". Lineage: Eukaryota; Dinophyceae; Syndiniales. The record is from RNAcentral.